AAAGACUGCAGUUUUGCACUAUUUAUAUCUAACAUUUGACCGUCCGUCCUAUUUAAAAAGAAAAUUUGAUUAGUACUUUUAUUGUUAUUAGAUGGUAAAACAUAAAUAAUAUUUUAUGUGUGACUAAUUUUUUAAUUUUUUCAUAAAUUUUUGAAAUAAGACGGACGGUCAACGUUGGAUACGGACCCCACAACUGCACUUAAA
Oryza meridionalis is the source of this 204-nucleotide non-coding RNA. NCBI's taxonomy places the organism in Eukaryota, Viridiplantae, Streptophyta, Magnoliopsida, Poales, Poaceae. The record is from Rfam.